AUUGAACGCUGGCGGCAUGCCUUACACAUGCAAGUCGAACGGCAGCGGGGGAGAAGCUUGCUUUUCCUGCCGGCGAGUGGCGAACGGGUGAGUAAUACAUCGGAACGUGCCCUGUAGUGGGGGAUAACUAGUCGAAAGAUUAGCUAAUACCGCAUACGAUCUGAGGGUGCAAGUUGGGGACUGCAAGGCCUCAUGCUACACGUUCGGCCGAGGUCUGAUUAGCUAGUUGGUGGGGUAAAGGCCUACCAAGGCGACGAUCAGUAGCUGGUCUGAGAGGACGAUCAGCCACACUGGGACUGAGACACGGCCCAGACUCCUACGGGAGGCAGCAGUGGGGAAUUUUGGACAAUGGGCGAAAGCCUGAUCCAGCAAUGCCGCGUGUGUGAAGAAGGCCUUCGGGUUGUAAAGCACUUUUGUCCGGAAAGAAAUGGCUCUGGUUAAUACCUGGGGUCGAUGACGGUACCGGAAGAAUAAGGACCGGCUAACUACGUGCCAGCCGCCGCGGUAA
Molecule: ribosomal RNA, 508 nt
Filed under: uncultured bacterium
Lineage: Bacteria
Description: partial 16S ribosomal RNA
Rfam family: Bacterial small subunit ribosomal RNA
Source: RNAcentral